GGGGCGGGGCCCGGGCCGCAUUGUCUCGUCUAGGGCCGGCUGGACGCCCCAGAGGCCGGACCUGGGCAACCCCAGCCUGGAGGUGCCGGGGCCGGAGCUCCCAGAGGGCUGGGUGCGAGGCCUAGGCGGGGUCAGGUUCGGGUUCCUAGGCCAUAGCGGAGCUGCAGCCCAGGCGGCCGGAGCGGAACCCAGCCCCGCUCCGAGUGCCACGUCUCCAGGAACCCCCUCCUUACUCUUGGACAACACUCCGCCCCCGCCCGGGCCUCCGUCCCCCAAACCGCCCUCAUUUGUGCAGCGCCAGAUCCUUCGGACACAUCCCUAGGUGUCUCCAUCCUCAUUCGGUCCAUCCAACUCCCAGACCUCACGUCAACCGGCUGCACCCCACUUUCCAGCCUGCGCCCCAGAUCUGCAGCCUUCGCCCCUAGAUACACCCGCCUGGUGAUGAGGCGCUCCUCGCGUUCCUUCCGGUAACCGCGUUGCGAAGACCACGCUGCCGGGUUGCAAACUUGGGGGGACUUCCUCCCUCCCCUCCCCCUGGGCGCCGUGCAACUGCCCUGGGACCGGGUUCUGGGAUGAGGGGGGCAGACCGGGCUCCCCAGCGGCCGGCGCAGCACGUAGCGCACGUGUAGGGUCCGCUCCCCACCCCCUCGCCGCCUCUGACAACUUUUCAGGGCUCCAGGUGUCCGUGAGCCUCCCUUCCGCCCUGGCCUCCGGUCUCUGCCUUGCUCGUGCUUCUACCACCACCCUUCCCCUCCCAACCCGGUGGAUCCUCUCGUCUCCCCCAGUCUCCAGUGCACCGGCUUUCCCUCGUCCUCUGCGCAGUCCAUCUCAGCUCAUCUCUCCAAUUCAAUGCCAUCAUCUCUCCUCACCAUCUCUCGGUGCCCUGGAAUGUUUGCUGUCAGAUGUCCCCUGUGAAACCCACAAACGCUUGCGAUUUGGCCUCCUUGUUUUAUUUUGUGUAGUCCUACAACGUCUUGUUACUACCCCCUAUUACAACACUUAUAACUCAGUAUUUGUCUUUUUUCCGCGGUGUCCCUGCACUCUCCCCAUACAUAUUCCUCUCCUGCCAGAUUGUAAGCCUCUAGAGGGAAGAAGUAAUGUCUCUCUCCUUGGCACCAGGCACGUGGCACACGCUCCACAAAUAUUUGUUGAAAGGGAGGGUAAAUGGCCUUGAGUUUCUGUGGCUACCAUUGGCUGAGGAUGGAGCUUUGGGCUGGACAAAGAAGAAUCUGGUUGACCACAUGAAGCAGGAAGGAGGCUCAGAACGGUGUUGAGGGAGCCUCCACAAUGGGUGGGCACCACAGUUGGGCAACUUGAGAAGCCCUGGACUCCCAAGGAGCAAUCCUGUGAGCUGCUUAGAGAAGCUGUGAGGAUUAGAGGGAAACUCAUGUUCCCUGUUCAUCCCGCAGUGGCACCACCAGCACCCCUAAUUUGGGUCUCUGGGCUGAGGGGCCCCUGGCAGCAUGCUCAAUGGCCUUGGAUAGCUGGAAUGUUUGGAAUUGCCUGCAUCUUGGAUGAAAGUCUUAACAAUAGAAUGAAAACUGCUGCAACACUGUGUCAGCACUUUACAGACCACCACUGUAAAUUCCCAGUUGAAACUGGGAAUUUGGAAUUCCAUGUUCAACCAAAUCAUGCUGAGUGCCCAGCACAGCGUCUGACACACUAAAUGCUACAGGUGAAUUCCCUUUUUCCUCUUUCCUGGCAGGAAGCGGGGAUAGGGGAACCACUAGAAAUACUGUAAUAACAUGAAUAAGACAAGGCCAUUAGCCGGGAGCAAAUCAUAGAACAUCAGCCCUGUGAAAUGAGUGGUAUUAGUGUUACCAUUUUUCAGAUGGAGAAAUUGAGACUCAGAAAGGUUAAUUAGCCAAAAAUCACACAGACAGUAAUAGCAGAGCUAGGAAAAGAAUGUUCAUCCUAGUACCUAACUUUGAUCUUCCCAAAACACCAAACUGACUUCUAAAGCUGAAGAAAGAGGACACAGAAGCUUCAUCUCAGAUCUCACCACCAGCUGCCCCUUAAUCUGCCAACAUCGAACCAUUCUCUCCCCUCUAGACUACAGUGGCUUCAAACUUUGACUUAUCUCCAGUAUUUUUUUGUACAUAGCAAUAGCAACAAAAGUUUCACAAAACAAUAUUACCUUUGUAUGGCCAGGCACGGUGGCUCAUGCCUGUAAUCCCAACAUUUUGGGAGGCCAAGGCGGGCAGAUCAUGAGGUCAGGAGAUCAAGACCAUCCUGGCCAACAUGGUGAAACCCC
RNAcentral lists this long non-coding RNA (2254 nucleotides) under Homo sapiens (human). RNAcentral describes it as "HSALNT0020127". The record is from RNAcentral. Lineage: Eukaryota; Metazoa; Chordata; Mammalia; Primates; Hominidae.